AAGAGACAGCAGUAGCCGCGGGAAUACAGAGGGUGCGAGCGUUAAUCGGAUUUACUGGGCGUAAAGCGUGCGUAGGCGGCUUUUUAAGUCGGAUGUGAAAUCCCUGAGCUUAACUUAGGAAUUGCAUUCGAUACUGGGAAGCUAGAGUAUGGGAGAGGAUGGUAGAAUUCCAGGUGUAGCGGUGAAAUGCGUAGAGAUCUGGAGGAAUACCGAUGGCGAAGGCAGCCAUCUGGCCUAAUACUGACGCUGAGGUACGAAAGCAUGGGGAGCAAACAGGAUUAGAGACCCCUGUAGUCCCUGUCUCUUAUAC
RNAcentral lists this ribosomal RNA (310 nucleotides) under uncultured bacterium. RNAcentral describes it as "partial 16S ribosomal RNA". It matches the Rfam family "Bacterial small subunit ribosomal RNA", at positions 503 to 807 of the family's 1533-position model. The record is from RNAcentral.